UACGUAGGCGGAAAAUUAAGUCAGUGAUGAAAUCCUGCAGCUUAACUGUAGAACUGUCAUUGAUACUGGUUUUCUUGAAUACAGUUGAGGUAGGCGGAAUGUGUAAUGUAGCGGUGAAAUGCUUAGAUAUUACACAGAACACCGAUUGCGAAGGCAGCUUACUAAACUGUUAUUGACGCUGAGGUACGAAAGCGUGGGGAGCGAACAGGAUUAGAUACCCCUGGUAGUCC
This 230-nucleotide ribosomal RNA is filed under the name uncultured bacterium. RNAcentral's name for it is "partial 16S ribosomal RNA". It matches the Rfam family "Bacterial small subunit ribosomal RNA", at positions 568 to 796 of the family's 1533-position model. The record is from RNAcentral.